Molecule: small nuclear RNA, 107 nt
Organism: Lemur catta (Ring-tailed lemur)
Lineage: Eukaryota; Metazoa; Chordata; Mammalia; Primates; Lemuridae
Source: RefSeq, a predicted model, not a curated record
GUGCUCGCUUCGGCAGCACAUAUGCUAAAACUGGACCGAUACAGAGAAGAUGAGCAUGGCCCCUGUGCAAGGAUGACACCCAUAUUCUUGAAGCGUUCCAUAAAAUU